This 778-nucleotide ribosomal RNA is filed under the name Salmonella enterica subsp. enterica serovar Enteritidis. RNAcentral describes it as "partial 23S ribosomal RNA". It matches the Rfam family "Bacterial large subunit ribosomal RNA", at positions 715 to 1495 of the family's 2925-position model. Lineage: Bacteria; Pseudomonadati; Pseudomonadota; Gammaproteobacteria; Enterobacterales; Enterobacteriaceae. The record is from RNAcentral.
CCGAAACCCGGUGAUCUAGCCAUGGGCAGGUUGAAGGUUGGGUAACACUAACUGGAGGACCGAACCGACUAAUGUUGAAAAAUUAGCGGAUGACCUGUGGCUGGGGGUGAAAGGCCAAUCAAACCGGGAGAUAGCUGGUUCUCCCCGAAAGCUAUUUAGGUAGCGCCUCGUGAAUUCAUCUCCGGGGGUAGAGCACUGUUUCGGCUAGGGGGCCAUCCCGGCUUACCAACCCGAUGCAAACUGCGAAUACCGGAGAAUGUUAUCACGGGAGACACACGGCGGGUGCUAACGUCCGUCGUGAAGAGGGAAACAACCCAGACCGCCAGCUAAGGUCCCAAAGUCAUGGUUAAGUGGGAAACGAUGUGGGAAGGCCCAGACAGCCAGGAUGUUGGCUUAGAAGCAGCCAUCAUUUAAAGAAAGCGUAAUAGCUCACUGGUCGAGUCGGCCUGCGCGGAAGAUGUAACGGGGCUAAACCAUGCACCGAAGCUGCGGCAGCGACACUGUGUGUUGUUGGGUAGGGGAGCGUUCUGUAAGCCUGUGAAGGUGUGUCGUGAGGCAUGCUGGAGGUAUCAGAAGUGCGAAUGCUGACAUAAGUAACGAUAAAGCGGGUGAAAAGCCCGCUCGCCGGAAGACCAAGGGUUCCUGUCCAACGUUAAUCGGGGCAGGGUGAGUCGACCCCUAAGGCGAGGCCGAAAGGCGUAGUCGAUGGGAAACGGGUUAAUAUUCCCGUACUUGGUGUUACUGCGAAGGGGGGACGGAGAAGGCUAUGUUGGCCGGG